This 460-nucleotide ribosomal RNA is filed under the name uncultured bacterium. Its description in RNAcentral is "partial 16S ribosomal RNA". It matches the Rfam family "Bacterial small subunit ribosomal RNA", at positions 338 to 795 of the family's 1533-position model. The record is from RNAcentral.
CCUACGGGCGGCUGCAGUGAGGAAUAUUGGUCAAUGGACGAGAGUCUGAACCAGCCAAGAAGCGUGAAGGAUGACUGCCCUAUGGGUUGUAAACUUCUUUUAUAUGGGAAUAAAAUGUUCCACGUGUGGGAUUUUGUAUGUACCAUAUGAAUAAGGAUCGGCUAACUCCGUGCCAGCAGCCGCGGUAAUACGGAGGAUCCGAGCGUUAUCCGGAUUUAUUGGGUUUAAAGGGAGCGUAGGUGGAUUGUUAAGUCAGUUGUGAAAGUUUGCGGCUCAACCGUAAAAUUGCAGUUGAAACUGGCAGUCUUGAGUACAGUAGAGGUGGGCGGAAUUCGUGGUGUAGCGGUGAAAUGCUUAGAUAUCACGAAGAACUCCGAUUGCGAAGGCAGUUCACUGGACUGCAACUGACACUGAGGCUCGAAAGUGUGGGUAUCAAACAGGAUUAGAUACCCUUGUAGUC